UACGUAGGGGGCAAGCGUUGUCCGGAAUCAUUGGGCGUAAAGCGCACGUAGGCGGCCUGUUAAGUCGGGUGUGAAAGCCCUGGGCUCAACCCAGGAAGUGCACUCGAAACUGGCGGGCUUGAAUAUGGAAGAGGGUCGCGGAAUUCCCGGUGUAGAGGUGAAAUUCGUAGAUAUCGGGAGGAACACCAGUGGCGAAGGCGGCGACCUGGGCCAAUAUUGACGCUGAGGUGCGAAAGCGUGGGGAGCAAACAGG
This 253-nucleotide ribosomal RNA is filed under the name uncultured bacterium. RNAcentral's name for it is "partial 16S ribosomal RNA". It matches the Rfam family "Bacterial small subunit ribosomal RNA", at positions 524 to 776 of the family's 1533-position model. The record is from RNAcentral.